RNAcentral lists this long non-coding RNA (1065 nucleotides) under Homo sapiens (human). Its description in RNAcentral is "HSALNT0033949". The record is from RNAcentral. Lineage: Eukaryota; Metazoa; Chordata; Mammalia; Primates; Hominidae.
CGCUCGGGAGCCUCUCGGAAUAAAUAUUUCCAGGCUCCGGGCCACGGGCUGGCGAGACCCCGCGGGGUGGCCGCAGGCCAAAGAUUAUUUAUAGCGGUAAGCGGUCGGUGCCCGGAGGCAGCAACUACAGAUGGGGGUUGGAGUUUCCUCCGCUCUCCGGUGUGGCCCGCGCAGGGACCCGGCGGCCCUCGGAGGACUCUGCAGGGCGGGGUCACGGGCCCAGAGCCGCGAUUUUCCUAAUGCAUUUUGCCCUGGAAAUAACGGAGACGGACUUUGGUUGCCGCCCUGGAGUUUGGAACCCGAGCGCGGGGCGGGGCGGGACCGGGCAGGGCGACCCGCGCAGAAAACUACUUCCAGCUAAAUGUGCACACACGCCAGUACAGCCGAAAAGUGACUCUGCAGAACCCGGAGCCCUAAUCACUUUUCCACAUGCGCCUCCGGCCCGGCGCGCGACGGGGAACGAGCUGGGAGCGCCCGCGCAGCCAGGAGGGGGGCUGGGCCGCGGGAACGCUGUCCCCCUCCCAGGCUGGAAGGCGGGGAUAAUUCCCCCUGCCGUGCAGCCCUUCUAGACGGCGUCUACCCCUUUAAGAAAAAUCUAGGCGGAGGUGGGGUGCGACAGAAGGGGUGGUGAGGCGAGGGUUUCCCUCCCUCCGUCUGCUAUACCCGUCUCCCUCGCUCCGUCUCACUCUCCGUCUUUCCUCUCCUUCUUUUCCUCUGUUUUUCUUUUCUUUCAACACAAAAGUUGGGUUGUGAAUUUUCCGAGGUCGCCGCCGCCUCGCCCCCACCCCCCGCCUCUGAUCUGCCUAACUAUAAUUAAAGUGCGUUUUUUGUGGCAUUAAUAAAGAGUUAUUUGUCCGCCGUUUCCACGGUCUUCACAAAGAGUACUUUCAUAGGGGCGGCCGCUCGGGCCGCGAGUCCAAUUUAUACAAAAAUGUUGUAUUUUUAGCCCUGGGCUCUGUUUAGAUGGCGCUCGGUGGAAACGGAGAGCCCUUGGAGGUCCCCCCGUAAAAUCUGAUAAAUGACUCCGAAAAAAUAACGCUGGGAUUCAGAGGGCUCUCAUUAACC